RNAcentral lists this ribosomal RNA (466 nucleotides) under uncultured bacterium. RNAcentral's name for it is "partial 16S ribosomal RNA". It matches the Rfam family "Bacterial small subunit ribosomal RNA", at positions 28 to 507 of the family's 1533-position model. The record is from RNAcentral.
GACGAACGCUGGCGGCGUGCUUAACACAUGCAAGUCGAACGGAAAGGCCUCGUUCUUGUGGUGCGCUCGUGUGGAGAGCGUGUGUAAAACAUGAGUGUACUCCCCUUUUCUUUUUGGGAAAUUCUCAGGACACUGGGGCAUAUCCCGGAUAGGCUCCUCCGGCGUAGGGUGGGGGUUGAAAUUUCGCCGGUGGGGGGGGGACUCGCGGCUUAUCUGCUUGUGGGUGGGGGGUUGGCUUACCAAGGCUUUUUCGGGGAGCCGGCCUGAGAGGGGGACCGGCCACAUUGGGACUGGGAUACGGCCCAGACUCCUACGGGAGGCAGCAGUGGGGAAUAUUGCACAAUGGGGGGAGGCCGAAUGCAGCAACGCCGCGUGCGGGAUGACGGCCUUCGGGUGGUAAACCGCUUUCGCCUGUGACGAGGCGUGUGUGACGGUAAUGGGUAAAGAAGCACCGGCUAACUACGUG